Molecule: ribosomal RNA, 490 nt
Filed under: uncultured bacterium
Lineage: Bacteria
Description: partial 16S ribosomal RNA
Rfam family: Bacterial small subunit ribosomal RNA
Source: RNAcentral
UGAACGCUGGCGGUAGGCCUAACACAUGCAAGUCGAACGGCAGCACAGUAAGAGCUUGCUCUUACGGGUGGCGAGUGGCGGACGGGUGAGGAAUACAUCGGAAUCUACUUUUUCGUGGGGGAUAACGUAGGGAAACUUACGCUAAUACCGCAUACGACCUACGGGUGAAAGCAGGGGAUCUUCGGACCUUGCGCGAUUGAAUGAGCCGAUGUCGGAUUAGCUAGUUGGCGGGGUAAAGGCCCACCAAGGCGACGAUCCGUAGCUGGUCUGAGAGGAUGAUCAGGCACACUGGAACUGAGACACGGUCCAGACUCCUACGGGAGGCAGCAGUGGGGAAUAUUGGACAAUGGGCGCAAGCCUGAUCCAGCCAUACCGCGUGGGUGAAGAAGGCCUUCGGGUUGUAAAGCCCCUUUGUUGGGAAAGAAAAGCAGCAGGUUAAUACCCCGCUGUUCUGACGGUACCCAAAGAAUAAGCACCGGCUAACUUCGUG